RNAcentral lists this ribosomal RNA (1006 nucleotides) under Triticum aestivum (bread wheat). RNAcentral describes it as "partial small subunit ribosomal RNA". Lineage: Eukaryota; Viridiplantae; Streptophyta; Magnoliopsida; Poales; Poaceae. The record is from RNAcentral.
CUACCGUAUCUUCCUCGGGAUCCAGAUCCGUUUUCCUCUUCGUGUUCAUCACCACACCAACCCGAGCCAGCCACCUCUCCUUCCACUCUGCCUCUCCAUCGGGAUCCACCUACAACACCCGAGCUCCUCUCAUGCUCCUCCCAUGGCGCCCUCGUUCCCGAGCGGAUCGAGCCAGCCGUCCCCGCCGGCGCUGAGCAGCAUCAGCUCGCGCCAGCUCCGGCGAGCCCUGCCGGAACCGCCGUCGCUCGAAGCUUCCUCGACCCUGUCGCCGACCAGAUCCGCGGCUGCCCUGCGCCGCCUGGCCUUCCCCGCCUGGACCUCGUCAGCCAGCAGCCCGCCAGGCCAGGCCAGUCUGCUCCGUCCGGCUACCUCCUGUCGUCCCCGUCGCCAUUGGACUGCGCCGCCGCACCGGAUCUCCUUCCUCGCCGGCCUUCCCUGCAGCCGCUGCCGCGCCGUUGACCCCGCCCUCGCCGCGCCCCUGUUUCCCCUGCUUCGAACGGCAUCAACGACGACGAAGCCGUCCUCCUGCGUUGACCGCGCCCUGCCUCGCCUCGUUGUGCCUGCGUGGCCGCAGCCAGCGCCAGGCCCAGCCAAAGCCGGCCCCUCUUGGGCCUCCUCCACCAAACGGGCUAAGCCCAGGCUUCGGUUUCGUUCCGGAGUUGUGAGGAUUCGUUCGACUCCGUCCGUUUGUCUUCUUCAUGGACUCGUUCUUCUUCCUUGCGGGAUUUCAGUUUGCAGGUGCCGAUGAAACCGUGCAGGUGACGCAUCCGAGCCCAAGGAGGAGCUCGAUGAAGAUCUCGUUCUUUGUGUUAUUUCGUUUCAGUUGAUCAGUAGUGGAGCCCAGUUGGGACGAUCGGGGAUCUGUGUAGCAUUUGGGGUAGUCUUCUUUUAUUUUGGUUCCGUAGUCGGACCUUGAUUGUAUCUGGUUGUUGUAAUGCUUUAUUCAUGUAUUGUGUGAAGUGGUGAUUGUAAGCCAACUAUGUAUCUAUUUUCCCUUAUGUAUUAC